UUUAUCCAUAUCCCAUAAAGAAGCCGAAUGAAACCAAACCAAGCUAACGAUGCGGGUUCGAUUCCCGCUACCCGCU
RNAcentral lists this transfer RNA (76 nucleotides) under Euphorbia fischeriana. RNAcentral describes it as "tRNA-Gly". RNAcentral also lists the same sequence under 1 other name. The record is from RNAcentral. Lineage: Eukaryota; Viridiplantae; Streptophyta; Magnoliopsida; Malpighiales; Euphorbiaceae.